GGAUAUCAGGGCGAUCUGGCCGGGACACCUGUCACCCCACUCAUCACCAGGAUCAUCAGCUGAUCUGGUUGGCGAGGCAGGUGUCCCCUCCUUUCCUGCCUGCUCCAUGUGCAUCCUUCCUGAAGCUAUGAGCUCAGUCAAAGGAAAAGAGAACUACCGUAUUAUCCAGAAAUUCCAUUCCUGGGCAUCUAUCCAGAGAAAAUUCUAAUUCAAAAAGACACAUGCAUU
RNAcentral lists this small nuclear RNA (228 nucleotides) under Sus scrofa (pig). RNAcentral's name for it is "7SK RNA (ENSSSCG00070019742.1)". It matches the Rfam family "7SK RNA". Rfam says of the family: 7SK was discovered as an abundant small nuclear RNA in the mid-70s but a possible function has only recently been suggested. Two independent studies have found that 7SK RNA binds the CDK9/cyclin T complex (known as elongation factor P-TEFb). The record is from RNAcentral. Lineage: Eukaryota; Metazoa; Chordata; Mammalia; Artiodactyla; Suidae.